CAAAGAAUAUUUUAUUACAGCAGUUCAACACAAUAUUAUUUUUUUUGGAAGCAUUUUAAAUUCAAGUGUUUUCAAGCCUUAACAACGGUUUGGCAGUAGUGAGAUAAUAAAAAUGAACGAAUACAGACCGGACUCUGUAGUCUUGUACUUGCAUCUGUGGAUCCUUGACUGUCUAGUGGACCCGAAAAUCCAUCUUCCGUCUUCGAUGUAACAUACAAGCGCAUUGAUUUUUAUUUUUAUAAUUUCAAAGUUUUUUUCUUUAACUUAGCAGGAGGAACAACCGCCUAUAUCAGUAAUCGUUGGCUGUCUGCUAGCAGAACUCUGAACGGCCGUUAUCGCGUACGCCAUGGUCGUUGAUCAAAAUCAAUUUCUCCCUCCCCCGGAUACCAAUGUGGAGUUUCGGCGCUGAGCAACCGCAGCGCUGCGCAACUGAGUGGCAACAUAUUUAUAUUAUACUAUAGUACAGUGUACCUACUUACUUUGCUUUUCACAAAAUUCACUAACUUCAUUGCUAGCUUCAAAACAUAAGCUAAUUCUUCUGGUAACGUUUUUGUAGCUAUUAGCUAACGCUUGCCGAUAAAUAACCCAGUGUGUCGUUAAAGUUUUUUUUUUUUUUUAUUUAAGAAAAUUUACAAUCUAUAUACAAUUUAUAUAAUAAGUAAAUAUGAUGAACAAUAUUACAGGACAUGAAAAUCUUGAGGGAAGGGAGUGUCCAGUGACACUACUUCCAAUUUAAACUUAGGGGUGAGGUAACUUUAUAAUAAGUAGCACUAGGCAUUUUUUAAUAAAUCACGCGGCCAUUUGCGUUUGAGGCGACGAGAGGGGUUAUCAGGAAUUGUACAAGAAGAAAGUUUAGAUAUGAGUGGGAUUGGAUGGUUAAAGGUAUUUUUAUGAAAUUUGUUAUAAUGAUAAGAGGCAAGUGUGGAUAUUGAUGGUAUGUUGAGAUCAUGAUGUAGGGUGUGGUUGCUGACGUACCAGGGAGCAUUAGAGAGGACACGCAGAGAUAUUGAUUUGAACGCUUGGAAUUUGAUUAGGUUUGAGUUUUUAGUGGUACCUCACAGUUGAAUUCCGUAAGUCAUAACUGGACUGAAUAUUUAUUUAUAUAUUAGUGUUUUAUUAUUUAAAAAGAUUUUGGAUCUAAGAAGUGGUCUUAAUUUGUGAAGCCUGGUAUUAAGUGAAGUUCUUUUAGCUUUGAUGUGAUUAGUCCAAGUUAGUAUUUUGUCGAGAAGGAGUCCUAGGUAUUUAACGGAAUCGAUAAUGGGAAUUGUUUGGUUAUUUAUGUAAACUGGAGGAAUUGUUGUAGGCCUGAGGGUAAAAGUGAUGUGAGUGGAUUUAUUUUCAUUAAUUUUAAUUUUCCAUAAGCUGAACCAAUCUUGUAGUUGGGUUAGGUGGUCUUGGAGGUUGUUUGUAGUGGUGGCUAUUUCGGAGUUGGUUGAGAUUAUGCCUGUGUCAUCGGCGAACGUAGCUAGAGUAAUGUUAAUAGAUUGAGGUAGAUCUGCUGUAUAUAUAUUAUAGAGAGUCAGGGAAAGAAUACUGCCUUGAGAGACGCCUGCUUUAAUAGGAUGUGGGUCAGAAGUUUCGUCUUCACAUCUUACUGAAAAAGUACGGUUUGAUAGGAAAGAUUUGAGUAAGAGGAAUAACG
Molecule: long non-coding RNA, 1642 nt
Organism: Myzus persicae (green peach aphid)
Lineage: Eukaryota; Metazoa; Arthropoda; Insecta; Hemiptera; Aphididae
Exons: 2
Source: RefSeq, a predicted model, not a curated record